AUGGGGGGACCUCAGGGUGGGGGAACGUUCCAGAAUAAACCCGAACUCUGUUUGCACACCAUGGAAUGUCGGGGGACCCACAAAGGCCAAAUGUUCCAGUGCUGCUCCAGUCACAGGGAUCAGGAUUUAUUCCACAUUCCACUCCUGGGGAGGGUUCCUGAGGAACCAGGGAUCCUCCCAAGAAACAACCACAGCAUCACUCCAGGAACGAUGACCAGGAUUUAUUCCACAUCCCUCUCCUGGAGGAUGAUCCCAGAGCAGAUCCCAGCGCUGGGGGCACGGGGAUUCCCCCCAAGGGAUGAACCCAAGGAUUUGUUCCACAUCCUGCUCCAGGGGAUGCCCUGGAUGCCCUCCCAGGGCAGAUCCCAGCAGGACUCCAGGUCCGGGCAGCAAGUCUGGGGCUGCCUCUCCUCCCACCGCUCCGGGCGAGCAGAAUUCCCGGCUCCAAGCCCUCGGGAGCCUUGGGCUAAAUGGACUCGAUCUGUUUGCGGACCUUCUCCAGCGCCCGCCGGUCCAGCACGCGCUGCCGCAGCACCACCAGCGCCGCCGCCGCCGCCGCCACGCCCAGAGCGGAGCCCACGAAGCGCCAGAACCGCUGCGCCUCCAGCGCGGCCGAGCGGCAGCUGCGGAGCACGGCACGGGGGGAGGAUGGAUGCCCAAUCCCCCGGGAAUUCCCGGCCCCAACCCCCGGGAAUUCCGCGGAGCACAACCCAGAGGAAUGAAUACCCCAACACCUGGGAAUUCCCAGCCUUGAUCCCGCUGGAAUUCCCAGCUCCAAUCCCACGGGAGGUCUCAGCCCCCAUCACCCUGGAAUUCUUAGCUCCAAUCCCACAGGAGUUCCCAACGCUCAUCCCCUUGGAAUUCCCAGCCUCGAUCCCUGGGGAAUUCCCAGCUCAAUCCCACAGGAAUUCCCAGCCCCGAUCCUCAUUAAUUCCCAGACCCGAUCACUCCCGGCCCCGAUCCACCGGGAAUUUCCAGUCCCGAUCCCCGUUAAUUCCCAGCCCCGAUCCCUGCCGGUCCCACCUCUUGUACUCAUCCCGGUGGGACGAGGCGCAGUUGAUCUUCUCGAUGAAGCCGGUGGGGCCGCACGCCGGGAUCGUUUUCUGCCAGCGGGGGCACGGAGGGCUCGGUCACGGAGAGACCCCCGGGGCAACGGGGGGACCCCGACCCCCGCGGCCGCCCGUGGGGACCCGCACUCACCAUCUCGAAGCCGGAGCACCGCGUGCACUCCUGGGCAACCACGAACUGCUC
This 1251-nucleotide long non-coding RNA is filed under the name Serinus canaria (Common canary). RNAcentral's name for it is "lncRNA (ENSSCAG00000001638.1)". The record is from RNAcentral. Lineage: Eukaryota; Metazoa; Chordata; Aves; Passeriformes; Fringillidae.